Molecule: non-coding RNA, 94 nt
Filed under: Candidatus Kuenenia stuttgartensis
Lineage: Bacteria; Pseudomonadati; Planctomycetota; Candidatus Brocadiia; Candidatus Brocadiales; Candidatus Brocadiaceae
Description: Kuenenia stuttgartiensis c-di-GMP sequence
Rfam family: c-di-GMP-I riboswitch aptamer
About the family: GEMM was predicted in a large-scale screen for bacterial structured RNA regulatory elements. Genes associated with GEMM are involved in a diverse array of functions, including chemotaxis regulation, signal transduction, secretion and chitin.
Source: Rfam by way of RNAcentral
GAUUGAAAAAGGCAAACCAACCGCAAGUUUGGGACGCAAAGCCAUGGGUCUUAAGCGUGAGUUCUUUAUACGUAAAGAUUGCCAGGUUGCCGAA